GUGGGGAAUAUUGCACAAUGGGCGCAAGCCUGAUGCAGCAACGCCGCGUGCGGGAUGACGGCCUUCGGGUUGUAAACCGCUUUUAGUAAGGAAGAAGGGCAGCCUUUGGGUUGUUUGACGGUACUUGCAGAAAAAGGACCGGCUAACUACGUGCCAGCAGCCGCGGUAAUACGUAGGGUCCGAGCGUUGUCCGGAAUUAUUGGGCGUAAAGAGCUCGUAGGCGGUUUGUCGCGUCUGCUGUGAAAUCCCGAGGCUCAACCUCGGGUCUGCAGUGGGUACGGGCAGACUGGAGUGCGGUAGGGGAGAAUGGAAUUCCUGGUGUAGCGGUGGAAUGCGCAGAUAUCAGGAGGAACACCGAUGGCGAAGGCAGUUCUCUGGGCCGUAACUGACGCUGAGGAGCGAAAGCGUGGGGAGCGAACAGGAUUAGAAACCCGUGUAGUCC
RNAcentral lists this ribosomal RNA (442 nucleotides) under uncultured bacterium. Its description in RNAcentral is "bacterial SSU rRNA". It matches the Rfam family "Bacterial small subunit ribosomal RNA", at positions 354 to 796 of the family's 1533-position model. The record is from RNAcentral.